Molecule: ribosomal RNA, 253 nt
Filed under: uncultured bacterium
Lineage: Bacteria
Description: partial 16S ribosomal RNA
Rfam family: Bacterial small subunit ribosomal RNA
Source: RNAcentral
UACGGAGGGUGCGAGCGUUGUCCGGAAUCACUGGGCGUAAAGGGCGCGUAGGCGGCGCGGGAAGUCGGCGGUGAAAGCCCGGGGCUCAACCCCGGGUCGGCCGUCGAGACUCCCGGGCUCGAGCACACUAGAGGCGGGUGGAAUUCCGGGUGUAGCGGUGGAAUGCGUAGAGAUCCGGAAGAACACCGGUGGCGAAGGCGGCCCGCUGGGGUGUGGCUGACGCUGAGGCGCGACAGCGUGGGGAGCGAACAGG